This is a long non-coding RNA of Carassius carassius (crucian carp), 749 nucleotides long. RefSeq lists it as uncharacterized. The transcript is spliced from 2 exons. The record is from RefSeq and is a predicted model, not a curated record. Lineage: Eukaryota; Metazoa; Chordata; Actinopteri; Cypriniformes; Cyprinidae.
GACAACAUCUCCAGGACACUUCGCUCCAUGUGACUAGGCAGUUUGUGAAGACAGAUAAUCAAGAGAAGUCAGUUCCAGAUCCACCUUCCACACCAGACCUCUCUCUCACGAGGAUUGCUGUCUACUAGCAUAUUGUGUUCUCUUCAGACUUCGCCAGAUGCAGAUAUUACUCAGGGACAUGAACACUUGAAUAUUGCAAGAAUAGAGAAAGUAAGAAUUACUUAAGAUUUUAGAAUUUAAUGUUAAUUGCUUAAACAUAUAUACAUAUAUAUAUUUUUUUAGAUAUAUUUUUUGUGGCAGUGUGAACUGGCCAUAAUGCUGUAUGAUAGGUGUGAGAUUCAUUAAACUUGAUUUGCUAUAAUACAUCUGUUCAUAAGCUAUUGCAUAUUAUUUUCAAUGAAUUAUUUGUAGUGGUUUGGUUAAGGGUGUGAUUAGCUGACAUAUUAUUUGUGGGAGCUUGUGAUUAGUUGAUGAAUGUGUGCAUUGUUAAUGCUAAUAUUUAAAUGCAAUGUACUGAGUGCCUACUAAGACUUGCAUGUUGGUGCAUAAUGUUUUGACCCUGGAUGCUUACAGAAGGGUAUAGAUAUUUGAAUAUAUGGAAAUGUAUUUAUUAUUAAUAUAUCUCAAUCUAUGUGCUUCUGUAUGGGCUGAAUGCUUUCAAUCAUAUUUCGCUGUAUAUCCUAUGUUUUUAUUAAUAAUCUGGGUGUAUUACUGUUCAUAUUUGCUUGUUAAUAAAUUAACUGAAUUAA